GAUGAACGCUAGCGGCAGGCUUAAUACAUGCAAGUCGUGGGGCAGCAUGGGGUAGCAAUACUCUGAUGGCGACCGGCAAACGGGUGCGGAACACGUACGCAACCUUCCCAAAACUGGUGAAUAGCCCUCCGAAAGGAGGAUUAAUACACCGUAACAUAACGAAGUGGCAUCACUUUGUUAUUAUAGCUCCGGCGGUUUUGGAUGGGCGUGCGCCUGAUUAGGUAGUUGGCGGGGUAACGGCCCACCAAGCCUACGAUCAGUAACUGGUGUGAGAGCACGACCAGUCACACGGGCACUGAGACACGGGCCCGACUCCUACGGGAGGCAGCAGUAAGGAAUAUUGGUCAAUGGACGCAAGUCUGAACCAGCCAUGCCGCGUGAAGGAUGAAGGUCCUCUGGAUUGUAAACUUCUUUUAUCUGGGACGAAAAAAGGGCUUUCUAGCUCACUUGACGGUACCAGAGGAAUAAGCACCGGCUAACUCCGUGCCAGCAGCCGCGGUAAUACGGAGGGUGCGAGCGUUAUCCGGAUUUACUGGGUUUAAAGGGUGCGUAGGUGGGCAGGUAAGUCAGUGGUGAAAUCUUCGAGCUUAACUCGGAAACUGCCAUUGAUACUAUCUGUCUUGAAUGCCCUGGAGGUAAGC
Molecule: ribosomal RNA, 641 nt
Filed under: uncultured Sphingobacteriia bacterium
Lineage: Bacteria; Pseudomonadati; Bacteroidota; Sphingobacteriia
Description: bacterial SSU rRNA
Rfam family: Bacterial small subunit ribosomal RNA
Source: RNAcentral